This is a transfer RNA of Theobroma cacao (cacao), 71 nucleotides long. It matches the Rfam family "tRNA". Rfam says of the family: Transfer RNA (tRNA) molecules are approximately 80 nucleotides in length. NCBI's taxonomy places the organism in Eukaryota, Viridiplantae, Streptophyta, Magnoliopsida, Malvales, Malvaceae. The record is from Rfam.
UCGGCCUUAGCUCAGUGGCAAGAGCAGAGGACUUAUCCUCUAGGUCGCUGGUUCGAUUCCGGCAGGUCGAG